AUUGAACGCUGGCGGCAGGCCUAACACAUGCAAGUCGAGCGAGCGGCGGACGGGUGAGUAAUGUAUGGGGACUGCCCGAUAGAGGGGGAUAACUACUGGAAACGGUGGCUAAUACCGCAUACUAUCGGAUAACCCAUAUGGGAUUAGCUAGUAGGUGGGGUAAAGGCUCACCUAGGCGACGAUCUCUAGCUGGUCUGAGAGGAUGAUCGGCCAAACGGGGCCUGAGACACGGCCCGAACUCCUACGGAGGCGUCAGGGGGGAAUAUUGACCAAUGGGGGCAAGCCUGAUGCAGCCAGGCCGGGUAUAUGAAAAAGGCCUUAGGGUUGUAAAGUACUUUCAGCGGGGAGGCGUUACCCGCAGAAGAAGCACCGGCUAACUCCGUGCCAGCAGCCGCGGUAAUUC
Molecule: ribosomal RNA, 403 nt
Filed under: uncultured bacterium
Lineage: Bacteria
Description: partial 16S ribosomal RNA
Rfam family: Bacterial small subunit ribosomal RNA
Source: RNAcentral